UACGUAGGGGGCUAGCGUUGUCCGGAAUCAUUGGGCGUAAAGCGCGUGUAGGCGGUCCGGUAAGUCCGCUGUGAAAGUCGGGGGCUCAACCCUCGGAUGCCGGCGGAUACUGUCGGGCUUGAGUACGGAAGAGGCGAGUGGAAUUCCUGGUGUAGCGGUGAAAUGCGCAGAUAUCAGGAGGAACACCAAUUGCGAAGGCAGCUCGCUGGGACGCUACUGACGCUGAGACGCGAAAGCGUGGGGAGCAAACAGG
RNAcentral lists this ribosomal RNA (253 nucleotides) under uncultured bacterium. RNAcentral describes it as "partial 16S ribosomal RNA". It matches the Rfam family "Bacterial small subunit ribosomal RNA", at positions 524 to 776 of the family's 1533-position model. The record is from RNAcentral.